UUUAUGUAGCUUAACUUAUCCAAAGCAAGACACUGAAAAUGCCUAGAUGGGUUCAUAAAACCUCAUAAACAA
RNAcentral lists this transfer RNA (72 nucleotides) under Trachypithecus poliocephalus (white-headed langur). Its description in RNAcentral is "tRNA-Phe". It matches the Rfam family "tRNA". From Rfam's summary of the family: Transfer RNA (tRNA) molecules are approximately 80 nucleotides in length. Lineage: Eukaryota; Metazoa; Chordata; Mammalia; Primates; Cercopithecidae. The record is from RNAcentral.